UAUUUUCAGCGAUGGAUGUCUUGGCUCGCGCAACGAUGAAGGACGCAGUGAAAUGCGAAACGCAAUGUGAAUUGCAGAAUUCAGGGAAUCAUCAGGUUUCUGAACGCAAAUGGCACCUU
This 119-nucleotide ribosomal RNA is filed under the name Sarcocystis bertrami. RNAcentral's name for it is "partial 5.8S ribosomal RNA". It matches the Rfam family "5.8S ribosomal RNA", at positions 1 to 119 of the family's 154-position model. Rfam says of the family: 5.8S ribosomal RNA (5.8S rRNA) is a component of the large subunit of the eukaryotic ribosome. It is transcribed by RNA polymerase I as part of the 45S precursor that also contains 18S and 28S rRNA. Lineage: Eukaryota; Apicomplexa; Conoidasida; Eucoccidiorida; Sarcocystidae. The record is from RNAcentral.